GCUGGGGUUGUAGCUCAGUGGUAGAGUGCUUUCCUGGCAUGCAUGAGGCCCUGCGUUCAAUUCCCAGCCUGGCA
RNAcentral lists this transfer RNA (74 nucleotides) under Marmota monax (woodchuck). RNAcentral describes it as "tRNA.Ala". The record is from RNAcentral. Lineage: Eukaryota; Metazoa; Chordata; Mammalia; Rodentia; Sciuridae.